UGGGGAAUAUUGCACAAUGGGCGAAAGCCUGAUCCAGCCAUGCCGCGUGUGUGAAGAAGGUCUUCGGAUUGUAAAGCACUUUAAGUUGGGAGGAAGGGCAUUAACCUAAUACGUUAGUGUUUUGACGUUACCGACAGAAUAAGCACCGGCUAACUCUGUGCCAGCAGCCGCGGUAAUACAGAGGGUGCAAGCGUUAAUCGGAAUUACUGGGCGUAAAGCGCGCGUAGGUGGUUUGUUAAGUUGGAUGUGAAAUCCCCGGGCUCAACCUGGGAACUGCAUUCAAAACUGACUGACUAGAGUAUGGUAGAGGGCGGUGGAAUUUCCUGUGUAGCGGUGAAAUGCGUAGAUAUAGGAAGGAACACCAGUGGCGAAGGCGACCACCUGGACUAAUACUGACACUGAGGUGCGAAAGCGUGGGGAGCAAACA
This 427-nucleotide ribosomal RNA is filed under the name uncultured bacterium. RNAcentral describes it as "partial 16S ribosomal RNA". It matches the Rfam family "Bacterial small subunit ribosomal RNA", at positions 355 to 774 of the family's 1533-position model. The record is from RNAcentral.